This 482-nucleotide ribosomal RNA is filed under the name uncultured bacterium. RNAcentral describes it as "partial 16S ribosomal RNA". It matches the Rfam family "Bacterial small subunit ribosomal RNA", at positions 28 to 507 of the family's 1533-position model. The record is from RNAcentral.
GACGAACGCUGGCGGCGUGCUUAACACAUGCAAGUCGAACGAUGAAGAAGAGAAACGCGAACUUCGGUUCAAAUUUCACUUCGGAUUAGUGGCAGACGGGUGAGUAACGCGUGAGCAACCUACCUCUUACAAAGGGAUAGCCUCGGGAAACCGUGAUUAAUACCAUAUGACACAUUCAUAAGGCAUCUUAAGAAUGUUAAAGCUACGGCGGUAAGAGAUGGGCUCGCGUCCCAUUAGCUAGUUGGUGAGGUAACGGCCCACCAAGGCGACGAUGGGUAACCGGCCUGAGAGGGUGAACGGUCACAUUGGAACUGAGACACGGUCCACACUCCUACGGGAGGCAGCAGUGGGGAAUAUUGCACAAUGGAGGGAACUCUGAUGCAGCGACGCCGCGUGAGCGAUGAAGGAAUUCGUUUCGUAAAGCUCUGUUCUAUGGGAAGAAAAGGACUGUACCAUAGGAGAAAGCCCCGGCUAACUACGUG